RNAcentral lists this long non-coding RNA (737 nucleotides) under Hordeum vulgare. Its description in RNAcentral is "long non-coding RNA (HVUL_LNC000876)". The record is from RNAcentral. Lineage: Eukaryota; Viridiplantae; Streptophyta; Magnoliopsida; Poales; Poaceae.
UCGACUCCGGCAUCAAAGGACGCCGACGGUGGCAGCCAACACAACCUGUCCUUCGGCCGGCUUCGGGAAUAGUCUCAAGGACGCCGGGGUGUGGCAGUAGGGUCGCCUCCUCUCUCCCGAUUGACGAGGGAGAUGCGGCCACCAAUGAUGCUCCAGCCUCCCUGAUGCUCUCAUUGUCUCCCUUGAUUUGGCCACACAACAAUAGCUGGAGGUCAGUGCGCCCACCUGAUGAAGCACUGAUAGCACCAGCAGUGGGAGGACCAGAGGAGGUGCUGCCAAAACCGGUGAAGUUCAGAAAGUUUUUCUUUUACGUUUUUAGAUUUGAUUGCUCGUGACGGGAUAUGGGACUCUAGCUCGGUUUUCCGUUGACCUUUGCAAUUCAUGGUCGUGCAUGGUGAUGCGGCAGCAGUGCGGUUGCACUUCGUGCUCCUUGUGCAUUUAAAAGUUUUUAUGGUUCAGUGUGCGUGAGUCCAGUGUUGUUUGCACGGUGUUGCAAUACCCAUGAGCCCCUCUCCAGUACACCAACCUCAUCCCCACGGUGUUGCAGAAAAAAUAUAAGUUGUUGUAAACUUCUAAUGAAUUUCACCUUGGUGUACGACAUUUCUAAAAACAGUAAGACAACUAUUUUGGAGCAUAUUAGUAGUUGUUAAGAAAAAUUAGUGCAAUUUAUUUGUAGCGGCUCAAGUAGUUCACUGUGUAAAACAAAAUGUUAGGAAAAAAAGUAUGAAGUUCAGGAC